Molecule: long non-coding RNA, 682 nt
Organism: Anneissia japonica
Lineage: Eukaryota; Metazoa; Echinodermata; Crinoidea; Comatulida; Comatulidae
Exons: 2
Source: RefSeq, a predicted model, not a curated record
CUGAUUUAUUUGUUCUAAAAUUUUAGAAUGGCUCUAACUUCAUUGGCAAUGACCGGAGCUGCAAAAAUUGCCUACGAUCUCAUAGCAGGUUAUCUUGAUGAUAUCAAAACAGGCUCUUACGAAAAUGAGGAACUGUGUUCGUAUUGGAACGACGAAAAAGCAAGAGAUGAACGGGCUAGAAAAGAGAGGACGUACAAAAAUGGAAGAUUCUCGCAAGAGAGGAGAACCGACGGAGUUCCCAAUGGGACAUGGUAUUUCUGCUUCACGCAUGAAGGUCUGCUCAAAAAGGGUUUGACUUUGGAUUAGAUAUCCAUAAGAAACUGUUGAAAAUAACGAAUGACAAACAAACUUGUUCAUCCAUCUUGUAAUGUCAACCAUAAUACGCAAAAAAACAGCAGCCUGAUGCAGCCGGGAGUACCCCAUUAAGAAAAGAAGGACCAAGAAAAAAAGUUCACAUUAAUAUUAUUAUAUUAUCGGUUAUUAUUAAAAUAUUAGAUUAAUUCAAAUAUGUAAAACAACAUAUAAAGGAAUGAGAUAAAAAUAUGAAAUCGAAAUUUAAUGAAAGAAUGUACGUAAUCUUAUUUCUAAAGCACACUGUAAUAAUUGCAGCAGAACAUUUUGAAAUAUAAAUCUUUUCUUUAACUGUGUAUUAAACGAAGUCUAAACAUCAGAAAAAAAAAAA